GACAGAGGUCCCGAGCGUUAGGCGGAAUCACUGGGCUUAAAGCGUGUGUAGGCGGAUCGUUAAGUGCCUUGUGAAAUCCCACGGCUCAACCGUGGAAUGGCUGGGCAGACUGGCGAUCUUGAGCCAUCUAGGGGCGACCGGAACAAACGGUGGAGCGGUGAAAUGCGUAGAUAUCGUUUGGAACGCCAACGGUGAAGACAGGUCGCUGGGGAUGUGCUGACGCUGAGACACGAAAGCCAGGGGAGCAAACGGG
This 253-nucleotide ribosomal RNA is filed under the name uncultured bacterium. RNAcentral's name for it is "partial 16S ribosomal RNA". It matches the Rfam family "Bacterial small subunit ribosomal RNA", at positions 524 to 776 of the family's 1533-position model. The record is from RNAcentral.